RNAcentral lists this ribosomal RNA (479 nucleotides) under uncultured Haliscomenobacter sp. RNAcentral describes it as "bacterial SSU rRNA". It matches the Rfam family "Bacterial small subunit ribosomal RNA", at positions 8 to 490 of the family's 1533-position model. Lineage: Bacteria; Pseudomonadati; Bacteroidota; Saprospiria; Saprospirales; Haliscomenobacteraceae. The record is from RNAcentral.
AGAGUUUGAUCAUGGCUCAGGAUGAACGCUAGCGGGAGGCCUAAUACAUGCAAGUCGAGCGGUAGAUCACUUCGGUGGUUGAGAGCGGCGCACGGGUGAGUAACGCGUACAUGACCUACCUUUAAGACCGUGAUAGCCCUGGGAAACUGGGAUUAAUAACGGAUGUGAUAUUAUGUUUAGAUGUAUAAUAUUAAAGCUGAGGCGCUUAGAGAUGGAUGUGCGUCUGAUUAGCUAGUUGGUGAGGUAACGGCUCACCAAGGCAACGAUCAGUAGGGGGCGUGAGAGCGUGGCCCCCCACACGGGUACUGAGACACGGACCCGACUCCUACGGGAGGCAGCAGUAAGGAAUAUUGGUCAAUGGACGGAAGUCUGAACCAGCCAUCCCGCGUGCAGGAUUAAGGUCCUAUGGAUUGUAAACUGCUUUUGGUAGGGAAGAAACGCUUUCAUUUAUGAGAGUCUGACGGUACCUACAGAAUAGA